ACCUUCACCUUAGGGUCACCAUAAGUCAGAAAUGACUUGAAGGCACACCAACAACAAAGUGCCAAAGCAGGUCCACUUUGGCCAUUAGGAAAACAGGGGGCUCUUGUUCGGUCUCUUGCUAGGGUUUUAUGGCCGUCCCUCCCUGCCUUGGCACGAGGUCAUUGUGCCAGAGGUGUCAUCCAGGGGCUGGGCCCUGUUUUCCAACAGUGGCUUGGUACCAGGAGAGGGCCACAGGACCCCAAGCAGCUGUGGGAGGAGUGGCCAUAAAACUGAGGGAGGAUUCAACAUCACACAAAAAGACUCAAGUGACUGGCCCUGAGGUAAAAUGAAGUGGUGGCCUCAGGCAGUAGGUUUUAGAGUGCCAUAAAAAGACAGGAAAAGGUAGUUAUGUGAUUUGUUGUUACUCUAUGCUUAUUGCCGGAGGCUGAGGAGAAGUUCUUUUGUAAUUUUUCAUGUUAUGUACCAAAAAUAACUUGGCUGACUUGUGCACUUUGCAGCUUGGCUUGUUGAAUGUAGGGAGCCAUUCGCUGUGCUACCUCAGACAGCAAAACGUCAUGGGCCCUGGCCAGUUACUAAUAAUAAGUGGCAGCCACUUGCCACUAGGGUUGGACCCACAUAUAAGUGGCCUCCCUCCCUCCCUCCUUUAACCCACCAUUUCUAACUCUAGGUCUAUAUUAGAAAAAUGUAAAAUGCAACACAAAUGAAUCAACGAAAGAAUAAGACUAAAAGGUAGCAAGGCCGUAAAACCUCAUAUCAGAAGAAAAACAAUAAAGCCAAUUUAAAAGUACAGUAUAAUAAAAUCAAUACAACACAAAUGUAUCAGCCUUCAAAUAAUGACUAAAAGGCAAAAGGGCCAUAAAAAGCUCAGACAAGAAAGAAGAAAUAAAAACAAUUUCAAAUGCCUGGGCAAAUAAGAAAGGAUCCAUCUUCAAAAAGAUAGUACUAUCAAUGGUCUUUAACCCUUAGGAAGAGAGAUCCAAAAUUAGGAGUCAACUGCAAAGAAGUCCCUCUCCUUUAUAUGCAUGUGUGUGUGUGCCUGUGUGUGUGCACAUGUAUCUAUAUAUCUGCCUGUUUGUUUAUCUAACUAUCUGUCUGUCUAUCUGAUCUAUCUGUCUAUGUCUAUAUGGUCCCUCACCAGGUGACAAUACUCAGCUGAAGAACUUUCUAAGAUGGUCUGAGAAGACAGGAUGGACAGGAUGAUCUGAGGAAAACCUUACUGAUUCCCAUGUAGAGCUCCCAGGAUAAUAGCUCAAAAUGCAAUUUCUUGGGACAGAUGAGGAGGACUAUGUGGCUGCAAAGAAGACCACCCUUUUCCAAAUUACCAUUGUAGCUGGUUGAUUUGAAAGCUUUAAACCUUGGAUACAACUAAAUCAUACAUUAAAGAACAUUUAUAUUGGAAUCCAGGACCAGGCAUAAGAACUGUGCUGCUUCUAUAUAGCCCAGCAUCCUAUUCCCACAGUGGCCUGCUAGAUGUCUCCAAGAAGUACUUUUCAAGACAUGAAUACAACACAAUGCAUACAAUACAAUAGCACCCUUCCACUCAUGUUCUGUAGUUACAUGCUCGCAGAUGCACUACUUCCAAUGCUGAAGGUAACAUAUACUCACUGUGAGUAGUCUCUUGUAAUUAGGCAAUUGUUGCUUCCUGGACCCAACCACUCACCUCAUUCUUUGCACCAUGUAAU
Molecule: long non-coding RNA, 1682 nt
Organism: Sceloporus undulatus (fence lizard)
Lineage: Eukaryota; Metazoa; Chordata; Lepidosauria; Squamata; Phrynosomatidae
Exons: 3
Source: RefSeq, a predicted model, not a curated record